GGGAGCCAUAUGAGUUGACAGGCUCGCGUACGGUUCUGGAAGCGCGUGGGGAUGAGAUUCCCCUGCGCGACUCGCU
RNAcentral lists this unclassified non-coding RNA (76 nucleotides) under Burkholderia sp. b13. Lineage: Bacteria; Pseudomonadati; Pseudomonadota; Betaproteobacteria; Burkholderiales; Burkholderiaceae. The record is from RNAcentral.